Paramisgurnus dabryanus is the source of this 510-nucleotide long non-coding RNA. RefSeq lists it as uncharacterized. The record is from RefSeq and is a predicted model, not a curated record. NCBI's taxonomy places the organism in Eukaryota, Metazoa, Chordata, Actinopteri, Cypriniformes, Cobitidae.
CGGGCUCCCGUGCUCAGCGCUGCAGUAUUGUUUCGGUGGUCCCCCAGAUCCGGUGGUCUCCCCUGAGCCUGCUCCAUACCUGGACUCCGGACUCUCCAAAAAUGGGUCAGAUCUUACCGUUCUCAGCCAGCCCGGCUCAAUAACCCCAGUCAGAACUGAAAGCCAGCGUUCAUUCAGCUGCAUCUCCAUCCAGGCCAAAACUAAUGGAGCAAAUCCCAAGGCCACAGAACUGGACCCACACACACGCAAUUCAUAUCCAUGCUCAGAAGGCCUCUCAGAGGAUGAGGAUGUAAGCUCUAUUCUGGAUACCACAUGGCCACAUAUUCCCCGUCCAUCCAUCAUUAGGCUGCACAAGGAGCCGAUCCAGGAAGCCCUGCCAGUCCGAAGAGAUUAUACUGAGUCAGAGGAUGGAGUGUUAUCAGAAAACAUACUGAAAAAUCAUUAGUGGCUUCAUGAGCUGGCAGUUUCAAACCAACAGCUGAACAAUAAACCGCAAGGGAAACCAAUGAG